AAUGUAUGUGACGAAAACAACAAAAAUAGGGAAAAGGAAUCACCUUUUUUUGACUUGUAAAUCUUUCUUUUUUUUAUUCGUAAAAAAAAGUUACAUUCAUGAUUCAGGGCUUUAUAGCCGAAUACAAAAGGUUUUUAGUCUACUGUUUCUAUUACUACUCUUUGUUGUUUUUUAUGUCCUCUUUUAUGCUUGUUUGCAAGCGCUGACGAAGGAGAAAAGUGAUGGGACAGGGCAGAGGUGUUGGUGGUGGCAGACCUUGGGCGUUGGAGGCGCUGACAAUGUACGUGGGGGGUAGAGAGGCGCGGCGCCUAAGGUUGCAGAAACCCUAAGAUUUCUGAUUUGGUUUAGGUUCUUGGGCCUUUUCGGCCCCAUAGGUUUGAGCUUAAUUUUGUAAUUGGGUUGUUUUAAUUUUUAUUUGGGCUAUGUGUAAUGGACUAUUAAUGGACUGUUUGAUAUAUUGGGCCCGGGCCGGGAAAAAUAGGCCUAUUAUAGCUGCCUCUCUUUGCUCGUUGUCGUGUAACGAUAAUGGAGCAAAAACCAUAAAAGGGCCGAUUUUGCCUGGACCUACUAAGUCUCGACUUCUUUUGAUGCUUCUUUCCUUCAAGUAGCUUCAUUCCAAUCCACUGCAUCCUCAGAGGUAUAGGAACUGUUGCUUUGAUCCACUCCACUGCGACUACUCAUAGCUUUAACCUGUUCCACUGUAACUUCAGGGAGAUAAGGUUUGUGGCUUAAAAUUGUAGCUUGAUCUGCUCUAUUGCAACUUCAAGGAGAUAAGAUCUGCUUUCUUCAGUCUGCUCCACUGCAACCUCAGGGAUAUAAGACUUGUAACUUCAACUUGUCCCACUACAACUUCAGGGAGAUAAGGUUUGUAACUUCAAUUGCUCCAAUGCCAUUUUAGGGAGAAAAGAUUUGUAGCUUCGAUCUACUCCGAUGGAACUUCAAGGAGAUAAAAAUUGUAGCUUCGAGCCGUUCCAAUGCCAUUUCAAGGAGAAGAGAUUUGUAGCUUCAAUCUACUCCACUGGAACUUCAAGGAGAUACGAAUUGUGGCUUCGAACCGCUCCAAUGUCAUUUCAGGGAGAAGAAAUUUGUAGUUUCGAUCUACUCCACUGGAACUUUAAAGAGAUAAAAAUUAUUGAUUUCAACCUGCUCCACUACUACUUAGGGAGAUAGGAUGGUGGCUUAAAUCUACUCCACUACUGCUUAGGGAGAUAAGAUUUGUUAUCUUUGAUCUGUUCCACUACUGCUUAGGGAGACAAGAUCUACAAUAUUCAACCUACUCCACUACUGCUUAAGGAGAUAAGAUGGUGGCUUAAAUCUGCUCCACUGCUGCUUAGGGAGACAAGAUUCACCAUCUUCAAUCUGCUCCACUACUGCUUAGGGAGAUAAGAUCUGUAAUCUUUAGCCUACUCCACUACUGCUUAGAGAGAUGGGAUGAUGGCUUAAAUCUGCUCCACUACUGCUUAGGGAGACAAGAUUCACCAUCUUCAAUCUGCUCUACUACUGUUAUGGAAGAUAAGAUCUGUAAUCUUCAGCCUACUCCACUACUGUUUAGGGAGAUAGGAUGGUAGCUUAAAUCUGCUCCACUUUUGCUUAGGGAGACAAGAUUCGCGGUCUUCGAUCUUCUCUACUACUGCUUAGGGAGAUAAGAUCUGUGAAUUCACCGAUGUUGCUACACCGUUCUCUAGGGACAUGAUCUAUAGAAUUGGUUUCAUGUACCUAUGCUUAUGCCAAAUGAUUAGGAUGUUAUGAUCGAUAUGAAUCAAAUGCUCCUAACUAGAUGUGUUAUGAAUGAUCUAUGAAUGCAGAAAUGAGAAUGAUCCUUUUUUAAAUGCUUAAGGUAUCAUCGCCCGUUGUUCAUCAGGGCAUUAUCACUGGCGUAUUACGCUGCCAUCUUGUUCGGCUAGUAUUCUUGACAAAAAACCCUAAGAAACAAUCACAUUCUGUUCAGCAAGCUUGCCCCGCUGUAAUUUCAGAGUCCCUUCCACUAUACCUUCUAGGACAUAAAGUUUGUACGUCCCACUACAACUUCAGGGGAAUAACAUUUAGUUUCAUCCAUCCAUCCUGCUGCAACUCAGAGGUUUAGGAUUUGUCUCAUCUUCAAUCAAUUUGAUUUGUUACACCAUUCCCUAGAUGUAAUGACCAGAUGUAUAUGUCUGAUAUCUGUAUAAAUGCAGAGUAUCAUUUUUUUCCCGAGAAUGAUCCCUUUUUACACUUGGAUUGACAUUGCUCGUUAUUUGUCGAGGUUGUAUCGCCGAUGAAAUGUUUUGUCUUUUUAUUCAACCAAUAUCUUUAACAGAAAGCCCGAAAAAAUAAUCACGAUUUAGGCUAUUCUUUCUCAAACAUUUCCAUCCCUGAGGUUUGGUGAGUUCUAAACAAUAGUCCUAUUUCAGGUUCUUGUAUUAUUUAGGAGUUUCCAGAGUAAUAUGCGAAACUCUUUUUAUGAAAGUAUUAUUAGUCCACUAAUCGUUAUUUUAAUGCAACAUGCUUCAAAAAGAUCAUAACAAUGGCCGGAAGGAAAUUAAUUAGGAGCAUAACUCGAACCAAGUAAGUUAAUCAAGGAUAGCAAAUACAAUUAAGAAUGAAAUUUAUUAGGACGUAUCUUGAAAAGAAUAAGGUAAUCAAAGAUAGCCAAUUCAAAAUGGGUAACAGGGAAAACUAGGUACCCCAGAUAUCUCAGCUUGAGCUUCUCUGUACCAACUUUUUGAAGACUAUUUUGAGCUCAAUCUGUGUUUAAGGGAUCCGAAGUACUUUGUCGAUGCCCCAAGACGUAGCAUACUUCUUCUUUGUUAAUUCAGACAUAGCAAGACUACUGUAUGCCACACUUUAAUCCACAUUUGAGCAGCCCUUUUUGGGUUUUCAACUCAAAUCCCCUUUGGUCUCAAUGCGCCCUUUGCGGGUUUUCACCUCGGCCUCUCCUUUUUCUCUUUUUUUUUGUGAAGUAUUUUUUAUUGAAUAUAAAUUCACAAGAUCAGGAAGGUUCUUGCCAUCACCUUGGUCAGUAUCGACGCUCUUUUAGAAAAGGCCUUCUUUACCACAUAAGGUCCUUUCCAGUUUGGCUUACAGUUUCCUUUGAAGUCCUUUUUGUAUAGAAAAGACUUUUUUUAAUACUAGGUUUCCCCUUUUGAGGUGAACCUUUUUGUUAUUUACUCAUGGUGGAUAGCUUUCAACCUAUCACAUCAGAAUUGGAUCCAUUCGAUUUCGUCUAACUUCGGCUCUAACAAGACUCAGAGAAAAGGAAUCUCGACUUAAAUGGAAAAAACCGCUUCCAUUCCAUAAACUAAUGAGAAAUGCAUUGCCCCAACGAAGAUCUUGGCUGACGUUUAAUAAGCAUAAAGGGUAAAUGGUAACUUCUUUAUGCCAAUCUUUACAAGUCUCGAUUAUCUUCCACGAUCUUUUUUUUACUGCAUUUGCUGCACUGUGAUGUGGUGUCUGAUUUGCAAACUUUUGACAUUGUGAGGUUGUGCAUUGUUAGACAUGAUCUUUUUUGGCAUUCUUUGCCGAACACUUGAUCUCUUUCCCUCAUUUUUAUUAUUUUUUUUUGAAUUUGAUAACUGUCGACCUUGUAACAUUGGCAUAUGAAGCUACAUUCACCCUCUUAGUGAAGUAAUUAACGACCACAAGGAUGAAUCGGUGUUGGCCAGAAGCUUUUGACAAGAUCAGCCCCAUAACCUUUAUUCCCCACAUAGAGAAUAUAUACGAAAAAAUGAAAGGGCACAUGAAUUUUGUCUCCAUAAAUUUGGCAUUUAUGGCAUAACUAAUGCAAGUCCCUUCUACGGUGGACCAGUAGAAUCCAAAUCCCAUGAUUAGCCUGGCCAUUAGCAUGUGUCUUUCUGACACGCUUAGGGACCUCUUUUAACAGCAUCCACAGGUCUUAGUAUCCCAAGUAUAUCUUGAUAUGGAUGCUUCAUUUUGCCUUUGUGGUGAUGCAUACUUUGAUCAUUGCCUUUUUCUCUUCUCUUAGGCCUACUUUUCAUUGACUCUUUGUAAGGUAAGAUAUGCUUUUCAUCUUGUUCUACCAUUCUUAACAAAUCAGGAGAUAGGUUACCAUCUCUGUCAUCUUUAAAGUGCUGAGAUCCCUUUAGGCCCAUAUUUCGCUCAAAAGGGGAUUUGGAGUCAGUGACAGCGUCGCUCACGUCAUUGAUAUCUGGGGACCUGUUGUUGGUACGAAGGAAGAUUACAAAGAAUAAAUAAUUCUAAGGAUGAUUAUUUGUAUGAUAUGAUCAUGAAUGAAGAAUAAAAUAAUAUUUGAAAGAAAGUCCAAAGAACAAAAGAAUCUAAGAACAAUUAUUUGUACAGUAUGAAAUGAAAAAAAGAUAAAGGAAUAUUAGUUCAAAAAGAUACAUUUUAUUGAAAUAAAGAUUUUGAACACAAGCCUAUUUCACAAAAGGAUUCUUAUUGCCUCUAGGCUUAAAGCAACAAGCGUGUUCUGAAUAUUACUCUAAAUUAGCUCUAAAAAUACAGGAAUCUCUUCCACAGCCCCACUGUUCAAAACAUUCCCAAGUACGUGAGGGCAGAAGCUUGGAAAAGGCUAUUCCCCAGUUCCCUAUUUGGAUAUGUCCUUAAUGUUUAGAUUCCCCAACAUUCCCACCAGGCCUUUAAUCCCUUCAAUUUCUUUAUUAUCCAUCAGGCCUUGUACUAGGGUCCUGAGCUCGACGCAUCCUUGGAUUUCAUACCCAUAUCCAUCAUGGAACUCAUAAUGUUUACCCCUUUAAUAGAAAGGUUGGGUAACAGAUUUUCUGCACCAGAGGGAUCAUCGAAUUUUACGAUACCCACAUUGAUGAGUCUUUUGAUCAUUUUUUUAAAAGCGACGCAGCUCUUGAUCGAAUGCCCUGUAAUUCCCCUAUGGUAUUCACAUUGGCCACUUGCAUCGUACCAUUUAGGGUAUGAAGGCUGUAUUGGUUCUACGUAGAAAGGGGAUACAACAUGUGCGUCAAACAAAAUUUGGUAUAACUCCCCAUACGUGAUUGGGAUGAGCGCAAACUGGGUUUUUUCUAAGUUCGGUCUUGGAUUGGGUUCUUGCCUUGAGGAGACCUGAUGCCUGGUAGUUAUCGUCCUUGGCUGGCUUACUGUAAUCUACUCCGAAUAGCCCUUGUUAUACCUACUCGUACUAUUCGCUUCUUUUUUUUCUUUUUUGGGGCCUUUAAAGUCCACUCUCUCAUUUCUUUUGUUUCUACCAGAACAACAGGUUUGGCUUGAUCAUCCUUCGGUUUAAAACCUGAACCCAUCGAGAAGUUCAAUAGUAUCGAAGUACCAGUCUGAUAUUGGGGUCUGAUAAUGACGGGUACCCCUGUGGAUACGCGUCUGGUCGAGUCAGGACGCUUAUUGGGGUAAAACCUAGGGAAUAGAUGAGGUUUUCAUUUAUCAUCCCUAUUGUUGACCACUGGGCCACUCCUUUUUUUAAUUUCUUCAGCCAGUAACUAGAUUAACUGGCCCAUCAUAUUCAUUUGUUCCCGCAUAUCUUGUUGAAUUUUGGUCAAUUGCUCUUGCAUCUGUAUUUGCAUUUGCUCUAUUCUCUCCAACCUUUGGUCCAUAUCCUUUGUCAAUUCUGAAAUAAUUUUACCUAAUUAGGGUCCUUCUGGGAAAAUCUAAUACAUAUGAUAAAAUGCAAUGCAAAUACAUGAGAUGCAUGCAAAAAGAAAGAGAGGCGUUGAUUCUGAAUUCAAUUCCAUUAGAACAACUUUUCUAGAAAACAAAUUUCCUUACAUAAAACGGACUACAUAUGCGGCUUUGCCCUCAUAUUCCAAGUGAAGACACUGAUCCUUUUCUUCAGAUCCGAAUGUUAUGGUCAAAUUUUGCAAAUUUUCUAAAAGAUGUCUUUAUUAUCUCAUUUCUACUCGAUCCGGACCGAAGCCCAUUGCUCACUUAUCCCUGCGAUGCUCGUCAGUUUCUUUAAGACAUGAUGGCUCUCAAAUAAUCUUUAUCUGCUUGAAUCCUCAGGCAACAAAGCAAAGUCAUGUAUUCCUUCAUGAACUAUAAUUCUUCUCUUGUUGUUUACUCGGACCAUAUUUGGACGGCCGUAUUAUAAUCUACUUUAUUAAGAAAUCCAUUUUCCCAUGACAAACUUUUCUAUUUAGCAAUCGAAUAUGAAUCAACACCUUCUUUCUAUGAUGAAAAUGCAAUGCAAUCAAAACAAAAGAAAACAUGUUAGCACAAGAGAAAUAAACAAAAUAGAAUACCUAUCCGGGUGACCACUAGGGGUUUGUAGUGGCUCUACCUAGGGUGGGCUCUUAAGGCUCGCUAUAUGGGGUUUGGUUCUAAAAUAAAGGGGUACCUGAACCAACAGAUUCCUCAAUCUUCACUCAUUAUAGGCUCAUAUGGAUCGAGUUCAGUUCAGGGGAAUACAUUUCCCUAUGGCCCUGUGAAGAUGAAAAUCUCACGAAAACAUAGGUACGGAUGUAUCCUGAAAGCAGUCUACUAGCCCAUGCGGAGGUGAAAACCUCACGAAGGCAUAAUUUCCCACUCCCACCUAAAAGGAUAAGAUCGACUGAUCAUGCAAUGCAAUAUGCAGAAAUAUGCCUAAACUCAAACCAACACAACAAUUAUAAACCGCAAUGACAAGGAUCGUAACAAAGACGAAUAAAAAUGCAAUGAAAGGAUUUCUUACGAUAAAAAUGCAAUGUGAUCGAAGCAAAAUCAAACGCAUCAACACAGAAGAAAUAAAAACAAAAUAGAGCACCUAUCUGGGUGACCACUAGGAUUUGGUGUGCCUCUACUUAGGGUAAGCUCCUAGGGCUCUCUAUAUGCAGUUCGGUUCUAAAGUAAAAGGUACCCGAACCUGUAGAUUCCUCGAUCCUCAUCCACUAUAGGCUCAUAUGGACCGAGUUCAGUUCAGAGGAAUACAUUUCCCUAUGGUUGCACUGAGAUGAAAAUUUUACGAAGACAUAGGUACAGAUGUAUCCCGAAAGCGAUCCACUAUUAUACACAGAGGUGAAGACCUCACAAAGGAAUAGUUUCUCACUCUCACUUAAAGGGUGUAACCGUGCAGUCAUGCAAUGCAAUGUGCAGGAAUAUACAAAAAACCUCGAAGCAAAUAAAGAAAAUAUGAAUAAAAUGACGAAGAUCAUAACACAAAACGGAUGAAAUGCAAUGAAAGGAUCAUAUAUCAAAACCAAAUUUCAAUUUUCGACAAAAAGACAAAAGUUAAUCAACUUGUUGCUUGACUCUCUUAUUUGAUUCCACAGCGGAGUCGACUUGAUUUUGAAAAUGAAAACGAAAAAAGACGGGAGUCGCCACCGAUCUUUAGUAGGUGUGAUCGAUCACCUCGUAAUUUGAUUGUUUUAAAAUGUUUUUUUUUACUAAAACAACGAUUUUGGUCUACAAAAAUUAAAAAAAUGGGUUUGGGAGUCGGUUACAUAUGAGGAAGGAUUAGCACCCUCGUAACGCCCAAAAUUUGUACCAAAUUGAUUAAUUAAUGUCUUAAUGUCGAAAAUUGAAAUUUUGAAAAGAUUUUAAAAUACGAUCCCUUGUUUAUUAAUGUUAAUUUUACAAAAAUAUUUGAAUAAAUCAAAGCGGAUGCUAAAGACCGUCUUAUCCUGAAGUAAUAAAAUGUCACAUCCAGCACGUUAGGACAUGAUAGUUUAAACCCCCGAAAAGAAGCUUGCCUUUUGAUUUUCAAAGCUCACGCAUUUUAAUUUUAACGCCCAAAAUUUGUACCAAAUUGAUUAAUUAAUGUCUUAAUGUCGAAAAUUGAAAUUUUGAAAAGAUUUUAAAAUACGAUCCCUUGUUUAUUAAUGUUAAUUUUACAAAAAUAUUUGAAUAAAUCAAAGCGGAUGCUAAAGACCGUCUUAUCCUGAAGUAAUAAAAUGUCACAUCCAGCACGUUAGGACAUGAUAGUUUAAACCCCCGAAAAGAAGCUUGCCUUUUGAUUUUCAAAGCUCACGCAUUUUAAUUUUAAAAGGAUAUUCGAUUAUUUCGGUUAAACGAGAAAAAUUGAAACCCAGUAAGUUAGGGCACAAUUCCUCGAGUUUCCAAAUACAGAUCAUUGCCUUAAUUUUUAAAUUUUUCCGAAUGAGUACACAUGUAAUGUUUAAAACUAUGCAUAUUUAUUUUAUUUGAAUUAUAGUGUAAAGAAUGGACAUUUAAGCACGGCUCGUGACAUAAUUGGAAUAGUAGUAGAAUGAUAACACGAAUAAACGAAAUGACGAUACAUCUAUAAUGAUGAGACAACAAAUAAGCAAUGACAAUGAUCAAUUAAAUCUAAUGUUAAUUAAGUAAUAAUGGUAAUAAAAAUGAAGUACAAUGGUGAUAAGAAAAUAGGUGAAAUGCAUAUACAUGAAGUUAAAGUUAAGUGUUUGAAAAUGAAAGAAUGAAAAAUAAAGAAAUUAGUAUAAGCAAAUAUAAGACUAGGUAAAAAAUGAACAUAAAAUACUAAUAACAGUAAUAAUAGUAAAAAUAAUAAAUAUAAAUAAUAUAAAAUUUGAAAGUAUAAAAAAAAUAUAAACAAAUAGAUAAUGAAAAUGAUAAUAAUAAGGGUAAAAAUAGAAAUAAAACCAAUCUAUAAAAAAUAAUAAUAAAUAAAUAAACAAACAAAUAAAUAUUAAAUAUUGACUAAAUCAGUUUAAUAGUAUAACAAUAAUAAUAAUAGCAAUGAUAAUAAUAAUUUUGGUAAUAAAUAAUAAUAAUAAUAAUAUAAAAAUAAUAAUAGUAAUAAUAGAUUAAUUAAUAAUGUAAUAAUAAGUAAAUAAACACAAAAAAGAAAAUAUGGUUAUAAUAGUGAUAAUAAUACAAAGUUACUAAUAUAAUAAUAUAAUAAUAGUAGCAAAUAAAUAAACAUAAAAAUAAAAUAUAAUUAUAGUAACAAUAUUAUUAAAUUAGUUAAUAAAAUAGCAAAAAGAACAAAAAGGGACCAAUUUGAACUUAAGACAGAAAUUCGGGGAAAAUAAAUAAAAGGAAAAAGGGGCGGGGACCGGUCUGAACACACGCAUGACAUAGAGGGGCUAAAAAGAAAAUUUUCCCUCUUCCUCUAAAACGGCGUCGUUCAUAUAAGGAUCGAAUUGAAACAAAGUUAAAAUUAAAAGACAGAAAUUAAAAAAAGGAAAAGACUGGAUUAAAACAUAAUAGAAAUGCGGAAGGACCGCGCGCGCAAUUAUCCCAUUUACAGCGAAAACACGCGGAUCCUUGGGUAUCGGGUCAGGUUGCGCACAGGUCAAGUGAAACGACACCGUUUUGGCGUUCAGACCCUAGGCACAAAACGGUGCCGUUUUACCCUCCUAUAAAAGCUAAGUUUUGUUUUUAAAAUCUCAUUUUUUCCACAUUCUUUCAAAAAAAAUGAGAGAGAUGCCUCUCAACUCUCUCAUCCCUCCCUAAAUAUGGCCAUCAAAUCUGGCGAGAUCCACGGUGGCCACCGGUCGCCGGCGAUGAGCUCCACCUUGCCUGGUGGCCAGAAAUCGCAAAAAAGGCCUCCUUUCUGACUCUAUGCCUAGAUCUAAGGGUGAAAACCCUAAAAAUGGAGAAAACGCUCGACCACACCCCUCGUAAUCCCUCGUAAAUCUGUCUUGACACUCGAACGAGACUCCGAAGAGCUUCUGGGGUUUUCACAUCGAAGAAAUACUCUGAUGGAGGCCGAGUACAAAGGGAAUCGGUGAGUCCUUUGUUAACUCUUUUCUUUUUUUUUUUAAAAUGUAUGUGACGGAAACAACAAAAAUAGGGGAAAAGGAAUCACCUUUUUUUGACUUGUAAAUCUUUCUCUUUUUUUAUUCGUAAAAAAAAGUUACAUUCAUGAUUCAGGGCUUUAUAGCCGAAUACAAAAGGUUUUUAGUCCACUGUUUCUAUUACUACUCUUUGUUGUUUUUGCUGUCCUCUUUUGUGCUUGUUUGCAGGCGUUGACGAAGGAGAGAAGUGAUGGGACGGGGCAGAGGUGUUGGUGGUAGCAGACCUCAGGCGUUGGAGGCACUGACAAUGCACGUGGGGGGUGCAGAGAGGCGCGGCGCCUAAGGUUGCAGAAACCCUAGGGUUUCUAAUUUGGUUUAGGUUCUUGGGCCUUUUCGGCCCCAUAGGUUUGGGCUUAAUUUUGUAAUUGGGUUGUUUUAAUUUUUAUUUGGGCUAUGUCUAAUGGACUGUUUGAUAUAUUGUACCGGGGCCGGGAAAAAUAGGCCUAUUACAAAUUCUAUCCGAAAAAAAUUCAAAUUCAAA
RNAcentral lists this long non-coding RNA (10131 nucleotides) under Gossypium barbadense (sea-island cotton). RNAcentral describes it as "long non-coding RNA (GBAR_LNC012173)". The record is from RNAcentral. Lineage: Eukaryota; Viridiplantae; Streptophyta; Magnoliopsida; Malvales; Malvaceae.